GUGUAGAAGUAAUAGGAUGGGGCUUUCCAGACGGCACAGACAUCUGCUGGGGAGAGAGGCCGGAUCCAUGUGAGCCCCUCAUCGGUCACUGACUGCCCCCUAAACGGAGAGCGACCCCCAUCAUUGCACGGAGGCGGCCGGUGUGUAGAAGUAAUAGGAUUACUAGAAGAUUUGGACCAUAGUUGAUGGUAACCAUGGCUGGUUGGUGGUGGAUCGCUGUUCUUCUGGUGACUUCUGUGAGCGGCCGUGUCCCAGUGGAUUCCCUCACAGACCCUCAGACAGAGGCGGUCAGACUGGUCCGGGAGGAUUUCCACAAGAGCAACAAGGUCAAAAAUGCGUUCCAAGUGUCCUCCAUGCUGGCCGCAACGCAACAGGAAAACUUUGAUGUUAAAGGAACAUUUGUUAAAGUAAGAUUCAUCAUGAAACAGACAAAUUGUCAGAGACGCGACUGGAUGAACCGAAAGUGCGUCCCCAUAAUGACAGCCAAGGUGAGGGGCGGAAAUAUAUACCGCUUUAUAUCUAUAUUGU
This is a long non-coding RNA of Bufo gargarizans (Asiatic toad), 528 nucleotides long. RefSeq lists it as uncharacterized. The transcript has 4 exons. Lineage: Eukaryota; Metazoa; Chordata; Amphibia; Anura; Bufonidae. The record is from RefSeq and is a predicted model, not a curated record.